This 492-nucleotide ribosomal RNA is filed under the name uncultured Bacillota bacterium. RNAcentral's name for it is "bacterial SSU rRNA". It matches the Rfam family "Bacterial small subunit ribosomal RNA", at positions 355 to 838 of the family's 1533-position model. Lineage: Bacteria; Bacillati; Bacillota. The record is from RNAcentral.
UAGGGAAUCUUCCGCAAUGGACGAAAGUCUGACGGAGCAACGCCGCGUGAACGAUGAAGGCCUUCGGGUCGUAAAGUUCUGUUGUUAGGGAAGAACAAGUACCAGAGUAACUGCUGGUACCUUGACGGUACCUAACCAGAAAGCCACGGCUAACUACGUGCCAGCAGCCGCGGUAAUACGUAGGUGGCAAGCGUUGUCCGGAAUUAUUGGGCGUAAAGCGUACGCAGGCGGUUUCUUAAGUCUGAUGUGAAAGCCCACGGCUCAACCGUGGAGGGUCAUUGGAAACUGGGGAACUUGAGUACAGAAGAGGAGAGUGGAAUUCCACGUGUAGCGGUGAAAUGCGUAGAGAUGUGGAGGAACACCAGUGGCGAAGGCGACUCUCUGGUCUGUAACUGACGCUGAGGUACGAAAGCGUGGGGAGCGAACAGGAUUAGAUACCCUGGUAGUCCACGCCGUAAACGAUGAGUGCUAAGUGUUAGAGGGUUUCCGCCC